GGGGAGGGUUCAGUAGGACGCCUCAGGCCUGGACACUUGGACCAACUGGCAGCGGCAGCCCCGCCCUCUCCGCCCACAGAGCGUGCGCCGAGACAGGAGUCCCGCCCCUGCCUGGCCUGUUGCCAGCCAAUCACCACUCAAGAAAACACGCCUGCGCAUUAGCUUCCCGACGCCCCAAUCGUCCUAUCCCAAAGCCGCAGGAUCCACCUUUUGCCAUAACAAAAGGACAGUGAUAUCCAAUCAGAGUUGAGAUCGCUUAAGGCGGAUCCAGGAAAAGCAACAGCCAGUGACAGUACAUUAGCUAAGCUAAGCGUGUGAAAGCCAGUCCGGUAGAGGCAGCUUCUCAAGUCUCAGCAGUUCCCUAAAAAUGGGGUCGAGAAAUCUGUGGAAAAUUCUGACAGCUGUCAGGAAGGAGGUUACUAAAUUCAUUGGAGAAUGAGUGUUGUCCUGAAUUUGGCCUCUUUAUCAGGAGGAUGUCAACAGCCAGUCCCGGCUGUGUCCACAGGAUGCUGCUGUUACCAUGACAACCGAUAUGACCAAAUCUUGGAGCCUUUCAAGAAACUUGUGGGUGAUCUCCUUGAAGUGGGCAAAGGAGGAACUAAAACAUACUGAACACUUAGUAAGUCA
This is a non-coding RNA of Odocoileus virginianus texanus, 627 nucleotides long. The record is from RefSeq and is a predicted model, not a curated record. Lineage: Eukaryota; Metazoa; Chordata; Mammalia; Artiodactyla; Cervidae.